AAAGUCGUAACAAGGUUUCCGUAGGUGAACCUGCGGAAGGAUCAUUAUUGAAUAAAUUUUGUUGGGUUGUUGCUGGCCUCUAGGGGCACUGUGCACACUCAACUCAAUUUUAUUACCACCUGUGCAUCUUUUGUAGACUUGGAUAUCACUCGAGACUUCUCGGACAUGAGGAUUGCAUUAUUAGCUUUCCUUUCACUUCCAGUCUAUGUUUUUCAUAUACACUUGUAACAAGUUAAAUGUUGAUCAAUGAUAAAUAUAAUACAACUUUCAACAACGGAUCUCUUGGCUCUC
Molecule: unclassified non-coding RNA, 291 nt
Filed under: Basidiomycota sp.
Lineage: Eukaryota; Fungi; Basidiomycota
Description: partial contains small subunit ribosomal RNA, internal transcribed spacer 1, and 5.8S ribosomal RNA
Rfam family: Eukaryotic small subunit ribosomal RNA (bases 1-47)
Source: RNAcentral